GAUGAACGCUAGCUACAGGCUUAACACAUGCAAGUCGAGGGGCAGCGGGAUUGAAGCUUGCUUCAAUUGCCGGCGACCGGCGCACGGGUGAGUAACGCGUAUCCAACCUUCCGCUUACUCGGGGAUAGCCUUUCGAAAGAAAGAUUAAUACCCGAUGGUAUCUUAAGCACGCAUGAGAUUAAGAUUAAAGAUUUAUCGGUAAGCGAUGGGGAUGCGUUCCAUUAGGCAGUUGGCGGGGUAACGGCCCACCAAACCUACGAUGGAUAGGGGUUCUGAGAGGAAGGUCCCCCACAUUGGAACUGAGACACGGUCCAAACUCCUACGGGAGGCAGCAGUGAGGAAUAUUGGUCAAUGGGCGAGAGCCUGAACCAGCCAAGUAGCGUGAAGGAUGACGGCCCUACGGGUUGUAAACUUCUUUUGUGCGGGAAUAAAGGAGCCUACGUGUAGGCUUUUGCAUGUACCGUAACGAAUAAGCAUCGGCUAACUCCGUGCCAGCAGCCGCGGUAAUACGGAGGAUGCGAGCGUUAUCCGGAUUUAUUGGGUUUAAAGGGAGCGUAGACGGGUUUUUAAGUCAGCUGUGAAAGUUUGGGGCUCAACCUUAAAAUUGCAGUUGAAACUGGAGACCUUGAGUACGGUUGAGGCAGGCGGAAUUCGUGGUGUAGCGGUGAAAUGCUUAGAUGUCACGAAGAACCCCGAUUGCGAAGGCAGCCUGCUAAGCCGCCACUGACGUUGAGGCUCGAAAGUGCGGGUAUCAAACAGG
This 760-nucleotide ribosomal RNA is filed under the name uncultured bacterium. RNAcentral describes it as "bacterial SSU rRNA". It matches the Rfam family "Bacterial small subunit ribosomal RNA", at positions 28 to 776 of the family's 1533-position model. The record is from RNAcentral.